Non-coding RNA from Acanthosepion pharaonis, 109 nucleotides. The record is from the annotation of a GenBank genome assembly. Lineage: Eukaryota; Metazoa; Mollusca; Cephalopoda; Sepiida; Sepiidae.
ACCAUAUCAUGUUGAAACACUGGUUCCUGUGCGAUCACCGAAGUUAAGCCACAACGAAACUAAUCCGUACCUGGAUGGGUGACCGCUUGGUAAUACCAGAUGAUGUAAU